Molecule: ribosomal RNA, 2442 nt
Filed under: Gastrodia elata f. glauca
Lineage: Eukaryota; Viridiplantae; Streptophyta; Magnoliopsida; Asparagales; Orchidaceae
Description: bacterial LSU rRNA
Rfam family: Bacterial large subunit ribosomal RNA
Source: RNAcentral
GUAAAAGCUUUUAGUGGAUACCUAGGCACCCAGAGACGACGAAGGGCAUAUCGGUAAAGGACGAAAUGCUUUGGGGAGUUUAAACUAAGCAUUGAUCUGUAGAUUCCCGAAUAGGAAAUUUUUUUUAACUAUAUGCUGAAUUAAUGGGCAUAAAAGAGAUAACUUAGCGAACUGAAACAUCUUAGUAGCUGAAGGAAAAUAAAGCAAUAAGCGAUUUCCGAAGUAGUGGUGAGCGAAAUGGAAGUAGCCUAAACUGUCAAAGGGGUUGUGGGGGAGCAACUAAAAAAUUUAAAUAUUUAAGUUAAGUAGCGGAGUACUGUACCAUAGAUUGUGAGAGUCUUGUAGAAUAAUAUCUAAUUAACUUAAGCUCUAACCCAAGUAGCAUAGGAUAAGUUAAAAUACCGUGCGAAUCCACAAGGAAUCACCUUGCAAGGCUAAAUACUCUUUGGGUGACCAAUAGCAAAGUAAGUACCGUGAGAGAAAUGUGAAAAGAGCCCUCUUUUAGGGGAGUAAAAUAUAGUAUGAAAUUGCAAGCUUUCAAGCAGUGCGAGGAAUCUAUUAGAUUUGAUCACGUGCCUUUUGAAGAAUGAGCCAAUGACUCAUAUGCAGUGGUUUGGUUAAGGUAAAAUAACUAUAUCCGUAGUAAAAUCAAGUCUUAAAAAGGCAAUAAUUGCCAUUAUUUAUGGACCCGAACCUGGGUGAUCUAUCUAUGACUAGGAUAAAUUGUCAUUAUUUAUGGACCCGAACUGAUGUUGAAAAAUGCCCUGAAAACCUAAGGGUUCCUCCAUAAAGGUCGUAUAGAUAGGGUUAGUCAGGGCCUAAGAUCAUGUCAAAAGGCGCAAUCGAUGGCUAACAUGUAAAUAUUCAUGUAUUAUCCUUUUUGUUUUAUUGAGAGACGGAGGAGGCUAGGUUAUCCAAAAAUUAUGGUUAUUGGUUUAAAGGGUAAGGAUAAAUUCAUUAAAUAUGGGUCAUAAGGGGUAGAGUAAAUAUCUGGAGCUAAUACCUGAAUAAUAAGUGCUUUUGUUCUUAAGGCUUAAGUAACUAAUGUCAUACUCCCAAAAAAAGCUCUAAAUAUCUUAAACAAGAAAGGAACCUGUACCCAAAAUCAACACAGGUAGGUAUGUUGAGAAUACCUAAGGGUGCGAGACAAUUCUUUCUAAGGAACUCCGCAAAAUAGCCCCGUAACUUCGGGAUAUGGGGUGCCUCUUAAAUAGAAGAGGUCGCAGCGGCCAGGCCCGGGCGACUGUUUACCAAAAACACAGGUCUCCGCAAAGUCGUAAAGACCAUGUAUGGGGGCUGACAUCUUCCCAGUGCCGGAAGGUUAAAGAAGUUAGUGGUCGUGAUUUACAACAGAGUAGCUGGCAACCUAAGCCCCAGUGAAUGGCGGUCGUAACUAUAACGGUCCUAAGGUAGCGAAAUUCUUUAUCAAGUAAGUUCCGACCCACACGAAUGGCAUAACGAUCUGGGCGCUAUCUUGGAGAGGGACUCGGUGAAAUAGACCUGUCUGUGAAGAUGUAGACUACCUAUACCUAGAUAGAAAGACCCUAUGAAGCUUUACUGUUCCAUAGGAUUAGUUUUAAGAUUUUCUUGUGUAGAUUAAGUUGAAGGCGACAAAAAUACUUCUUAUGGGAAGGAUUGAGCAAUUAUUGAGAUACCACUCUGGAAGAGCUAGAUUCCUAAUCUUAUGUCAUAAAUUAUGGCCGAGGGACAUUCUCAGGUAGACAGUUUAUAUGGGGCAUAGGCCUCCUAAAAUGUAACGGAGGCACGCAAAGGUUUCUUUGAGCCAUACGAGAAUUUGCUUUAUACGUGUAAGGGCAUAAAGAAGCUUCACUGCAAGACCCACUUGUCAAGUAGGGAUGAAAGUCAGCCUUAGUGAUCCAACAAUGCUGAGUGGUAGGGCUGUCGCUCGACGGAUAAAAGUUAUUCUAGGGAUAACAGGCUGAUCUUCCCCAAGAGUUCACAUCGACGGGAAGGUUUGGCACCUCGAUGUCGGCUCGUCGCCACUUGGGGCUGUAGUAGGUUUCAAGAGUUGGGUUGUUCGCCCAUUAAAGUGGUACAUGAGCUGGGUUCAGAAUGUCGUGAGACAGUUCGGUCCAUAUCCGGUAUAGACAUUAGAGCAUUGAGAGGACUUUUCCCUAGUACGAGAGGACCAGGAAGGACGCACCUCUGGUGUACCAGCUAUUGUGCCAUCAAUAAAUGCUGGGUAGUCAAGUGCAGAGUGGAUAACUGCUGAAAGCAUCUAAGUAGGAAGCCCACCACAGGAUGAUUGCUUUCUUAUUUUGUCUUUUGCUUACUUUACUUUAAUAACUUAAUUAACAAUUUAAGCCCAAUAUAAGGUCACGACGAGAUUAGCAUUUUUAUUAGUAGUUAUAUUAAUAGGUGUUAAGGUGUAAGUGCAAUGAUGCAUGUAGCCGAAGCAUCCUAAAAAAUAAAGUUAAAAAA